UCGGGGCCCAACCUCCCACCCGUGUUGCCCGAACCUAUGUUGCCUCGGCGGGCCCCGCGCCCGCCGACGGCCCCCCUGAACGCUGUCUGAAGUUGCAGUCUGAGACCUAUAACGAAAUUAGUUAAAACUUUCAACAACGGAUCUCUUGGUUCCGGCAUCGAUGAAGAACGCAGCGAAAUGCGAUAACUAAUGUGAAUUGCAGAAUUCAGUGAAUCAUCGAGUCUUUGAACGCACAUUGCGCCCUCUGGUAUUCCGGAGGGCAUGCCUGUCCGAGCGUCAUUGCUGCCCUCAAGCCCGGCUUGUGUGUUGGGCCCCGUCCCCCCCGCCGGGGGGACGGGCCCGAAAGGCAGCGGCGGCACCGCGUCCGGUCCUCGAGCGUAUGGGGCUUCGUCACCCGCUCUAGUAGGCCCGGCCGGCGCCAGCCGACCCCCAACCUUUAAUUAUCUCAGGUUGACCUCGGAUCAGGUAGGGAUACCCGCUGAACUUAAGCAUAUC
RNAcentral lists this ribosomal RNA (495 nucleotides) under Penicillium sp. DY115-21-11-M15. Its description in RNAcentral is "eukaryotic LSU rRNA". The stretch from base 126 to 279 matches the Rfam family "5.8S ribosomal RNA". The record is from RNAcentral. Lineage: Eukaryota; Fungi; Ascomycota; Eurotiomycetes; Eurotiales; Aspergillaceae.